GGGGGGGGGGGGGGGGGGGGGGGAGGGAUGGGGGGGGGGGGGGGGACGGGGGGGCGGGCGGGGGGCGGACGGGGGGCGAACGGGUGAGGAAUAGGUGAGGAACCUGGAGUGGAGUCUGGGAUCAGGGUUGGGACCGUCGUCUAGUACCGGAUACGAGGCGGGAGGGGAUGCUUCCCGGGUGGAAAGAACUUCGGAUCGGGCUGAGCGGGCGGCCCAUCAGCUUGUUGGUGAGGUCACGGCUCACCAAGGCGACGACGGGUAGCCGGCCUGAGAGGGUGACCGGCCACACUGGGACUGAGACACGGCCCAGACGCCUACGGGAGACAGCAGUGGGGAAUAUUGCACAAUGGGCGCAAGCCUGAUGCAGCAACGCCGCGUGAGGGACGACGGCCUUCGGGUUGUAAACCUCUUUUAGCAGAGAAGAAGCGAAAGUGACGGUACCUGCAGAAAAAGCACCGGCUAACUACGUG
This 470-nucleotide ribosomal RNA is filed under the name uncultured bacterium. RNAcentral's name for it is "partial 16S ribosomal RNA". The stretch from base 58 to 470 matches the Rfam family "Bacterial small subunit ribosomal RNA", at positions 39 to 507 of the family's 1533-position model. The record is from RNAcentral.